UAAAAAUGAAAAAGAAUAGUAAUUAUAUUUAAAAAUAUUUAUUCUAUCUUUAGUAAGAUUUCAAAUUUUAGUUUUAUCAGGGAUGAAGAAUCGGAUGGCAAAUGAUCCGAUUCCGACUCCACUUUUUUAAAAAAAUCCUACUCCGACUCCCGGGAGGUUUAAAGUUCCGAUUUCGAUUCUGUCCGGGGGCCUCCAAUUCCCCGACUUCUGACUCCGACUCUGAGUCGGGUAGUCGGAGGUUUUUGGGUGGAGUCGGAAUCGGAGUUUUAAACUUCCCGGGAGUCCGAGUUGGAGAAGGAUCUUACAAAUUUUAGAUUGUCGAAGUCGGAUGUUUUUAAAAGAUGGAGUCGGAGUCAGAUUUGGAAUCGGAGGUUUUUGGAUAACACCGAUUCCAACUCCGGGCAGUUUAAAAAUCUGACUUUACCAAAAACAUCCGACUUUCCGACUCCUCUGUAAUUUUGUUUUCUACCAUACUAACUUUGAUUAAAUAAAAGGCAUUUUUAAUUAAUUUAUACACUUAAUAUUCACUUAUAUAGUUAAAAUUUAUUUAAAUUUAUGCAUUGAUAAUAUAUGCAUAUAAAUUAUGUAAAUAAUAG
This 596-nucleotide long non-coding RNA is filed under the name Androctonus crassicauda. Lineage: Eukaryota; Metazoa; Arthropoda; Arachnida; Scorpiones; Buthidae. The record is from RNAcentral.